GCUUAGAAGUGUGGACGCCAGUCUGCAUGGAGCCGACCUUGAAAUACCACCCUUUAAUGUUUGAUGUUCUAACGUUGACCCGUAAUCCGGGUUGCGGACAGUGUCUGGUGGGUAGUUUGACUGGGGCGGUCUCCUCCUAAAGAGUAACGGAGGAGCACGAAGGUUGGCUAAUCCUGGUCGGACAUCAGGAGGUUAGUGCAAUGGCAUAAGCCAGCUUGACUGCGAGCGUGACGGCGCGAGCAGGUGCGAAAGCAGGUCAUAGUGAUCCGGUGGUUCUGAAUGGAAGGGCCAUCGCUCAACGGAUAAAAGGUACUCCGGGGAUAACAGGCUGAUACCGCCCAAGAGUUCAUAUCGACGGCGGUGUUUGGCACCUCGAUGUCGGCUCAUCACAUCCUGGGGCUGAAGUAGGUCCCAAGGGUAUGGCUGUUCGCCAUUUAAAGUGGUACGCGAGCUGGGUUUAGAACGUCGUGAGACAGUUCGGUCCCUAUCUGCCGUGGGCGCUGGAGAACUGAGGGGGGCUGCUCCUAGUACGAGAGGACCGGAGUGGACGCAUCACUGGUGUUCGGGUUGUCAUGCCAAUGGCACUGCCCGGUAGCUAAAUGCGGAAGAGAUAAGUGCUGAAAGCAUCUAAGCACGAAACUUGCCCCGAGAUGAGUUCUCCCUGACUCCUUGAGAGUCCUGAAGGAACGUUGAAGACGACGACGUUGAUAGGCCGGGUGUGUAAGCGCAGCGAUGCGUUGAGCUAACCGGUACUAAUGAACCGUGAGGCUUAACCUU
This 777-nucleotide ribosomal RNA is filed under the name Escherichia coli. RNAcentral describes it as "partial 23S ribosomal RNA". It matches the Rfam family "Bacterial large subunit ribosomal RNA", at positions 2154 to 2925 of the family's 2925-position model. Lineage: Bacteria; Pseudomonadati; Pseudomonadota; Gammaproteobacteria; Enterobacterales; Enterobacteriaceae. The record is from RNAcentral.